UACGGAAGGGGCUAGCGUUGUUCGGAAUUACUGGGCGUAAAGCGAGUGUAGGCGGCUUGGCAAGUCGGAUGUGAAAUCCCGGGGCUCAACUUCGGAACUGCAAUCGAAACUGGCUGGCUCGAGUCCCGGAGAGGGUUGCGGAAUUCCCGGUGUAGGGGUGAAAUCCGUAGAUAUCGGGAGGAACACCAGUGGCGAAGGCGGCGACCGGGACGGUGACUGACGUUGAGACGCGAAAGCGUGGGGAGCAAACAGG
Molecule: ribosomal RNA, 253 nt
Filed under: uncultured bacterium
Lineage: Bacteria
Description: partial 16S ribosomal RNA
Rfam family: Bacterial small subunit ribosomal RNA
Source: RNAcentral